Molecule: non-coding RNA, 130 nt
Filed under: uncultured Treponema sp.
Lineage: Bacteria; Pseudomonadati; Spirochaetota; Spirochaetia; Treponematales; Treponemataceae
Description: FMN riboswitch (RFN element)
Rfam family: FMN riboswitch aptamer (RFN element)
About the family: The RFN element is a highly conserved domain that is found frequently in the 5'-untranslated regions of prokaryotic mRNAs that encode for flavin mononucleotide (FMN) biosynthesis and transport proteins. This element is a metabolite-dependent riboswitch that directly binds FMN in the absence of proteins.
Source: RNAcentral
UUCUUCAGGGCGAGGUGAAAUUCCUCACCGGCUGUAACUGCAUUGCAGAAGCCAGCGAGCGAGUCGAUUAUCGAUGAGCAUGAUACGGUGUAAUUCCGUGGCCGACAGUAAAGUCUGGAUGAGAGAAGAU